GGCAAGUGCACGUGCGCCACGUUAAGAAAUGUAGAAGCGGAUGAAGAAGGACGAAAGGGAAGAGUGGAGAGAUACCUCAUCUUUAAAGAAAAGGUUAUAUAUUAGCGACCAGGGCUGUAUUCUCUCUCUCUCUCUCUCUCUCUGCAUCAUAGGACACACUGAAAUUAUGAAUUAACGACCAUAACUACAUUCAGCAUUAUAGGAAAUAUCGGUUGUAAAGGGUGUCCCAAAAUUCAUGCAAGAUUUGAAUUUUGCGCUAUUUGUGCGGUAAAGUGCUGCCAAU
Long non-coding RNA from Dinoponera quadriceps, 283 nucleotides. RefSeq lists it as uncharacterized. Lineage: Eukaryota; Metazoa; Arthropoda; Insecta; Hymenoptera; Formicidae. The transcript is spliced from 4 exons. The record is from RefSeq and is a predicted model, not a curated record.